UAGAGUUUGAUCGUGGCUCAGGAUGAACGCUAGCGGGAGGCUUAACACAUGCAAGCCGAGGGGUAUUCAGUUGCUUGCAACUGGAGAGACCGGCGCACGGGUGAGUAACGCGUAUGUAACUUGCCUCAUUCAACGGGAUAGCCCGGGGAAACCCGGAUUAAUAUCGUAUAACAUUUGGACAGGCAUCUGUCCGGAUUGAAAGAUUCAUCGGAAUGAGAUAGACAUGCGUAUGAUUAGUUAGUUGGCGGGGUAACGGCCCAUCAAGACGAUGAUCAUUAGGGGUCCUGAGAGGGUGAUCCCCCACACUGGUACUGAGACACGGACCAGACUCCUACGGGAGGCAGCAGUGAGGAAUAUUGGACAAUGGGUGAGAGCCUGAUCCAGCCAUCCCGCGUGCAGGAAGACGGCCUUAUGGGUUGUAAACUGCUUUUAUACAGGAAUAAACCAUCUUACGAGUAGGGUGUUGAAGGUACUGUAUGAAUAAGCACCGGCUAACUCCGUGCCAGCAGCCGCGGUAAUACGGAGGGUGCAAGCGUUAUCCGGAUUUAUUGGGUUUAAAGGGUCCGCAGGCGGGCCUGUAAGUCAGGGGUGAAAUCCGGCAGCUUAACUGUCGAACUGCCUUUGAUACUGCAGGUCUUGAGUGGGAAUGAAGCAGCUGGAAUGUGUGGUGUAGCGGUGAAAUGCAUAGAUAUCACACAGAACACCGAUAGCGAAAGCAGGUUGCUAAUUCUCAACUGACGCUGAGGGACGAAAGCGUGGGGAGCGAACAGGAUUAGAUACCCUGGUAGUCCACGCCGUAAACGAUGGAUACUGUCUGUUGGUUUCGUAAGGAUCAGUGGAUAAGCGAAAGUGAUAAGUAUCCCACCUGGGGGAGUACGUUCGCAGAAUGAAACUCAAAGGAUGACGGGGCCCGCACAAGCGGUUGGAGCAUGGUGGUUUAAUUCGAUGAUACGCGAGGACCUUACCAUGCUUAAAUUGUUAUAUUGACAGGGGUGGAAAACACCUUUUCUUCCGGAACGGUAUGCAAGGUGCUGCAUGCUGUCGUCAGCUCGUGCGUGAGGGUCAAGGUUAAGUCUAUAGCGAGCCUACUACGUUAGUGCCAGCGUGCAGAAACGGGGAACUA
This 1123-nucleotide ribosomal RNA is filed under the name uncultured Bacteroidota bacterium. Its description in RNAcentral is "bacterial SSU rRNA". It matches the Rfam family "Bacterial small subunit ribosomal RNA", at positions 1 to 1141 of the family's 1533-position model. The record is from RNAcentral. Lineage: Bacteria; Pseudomonadati; Bacteroidota.